UCCUGACAUCGGAGGCACAUUCUCCCCAAAACCACCCGCGAAGAAGCUGUCCAGCCCCCAAAGCUGUACUUCUGCAUCGCAGGCGAAGAGGGCGCUCUGGAGCUGAAGCACCGUCACAUUGUGCAAACUACGGAAACUGCAGUGAGCUGCGCUGGCUCGGAUCACGCAGAGGGAGGAGGAGGCAGGCGCGGGCCGCGUGGAGAAUGGCCAAGUCCCGGCCUCGCCCGUGCGCGCCCAGCCGGAGGAUGUGAAAUCUGUCAUCCAGGCCAGGGAUUUGUAGGGAAAAACUGCGACCCUAGCCCGCCUGUGUCGGUCUGUCCCAGCCUGGCUCAGGUCCUGCCCUGGGAGGCACAGCCUGGCAUCCCACAGGGGGCAUAGCUGCCACCCCGAUAGCAGGAAAGACCGAGAACAGAAUUGAUCACAAAGUAGAAAAAACGCUUAACAUUGACUUAAGUCUUCAGUAGCAGAAAAGAAAAUAUAGAUGAUGUAGUUUUACAGCAUAGAGGCAAAGGUCAUUCAUAAUUAAGAUAUUAAAAAAAAACAAGGUCAACAACAGCUUUGAUGAAGUAGACUUACUUUACGCACUGUGAGGAGUUCAGAGGCGAGCGGCUGGCUGAAGGGAAACUUCUGUCUACGGACUAAAAGGCUGAUGUCCAUAACCUGCAAGGAGUUCCUACAAACCAGUGGAAGAGAAACUCAACAGAACAGUUCACAAAGAAGUACAAAUGGCUGACAAGCAGAAAGACUGCUAUACCUUCCAAGUAGGGAAAUAAACAGAAGAACAGUGAAAAACCGUUUUAACUAUAAAACCUCAAAAAUUAAAAAUGCUGUGACACCCAGUUUCAUGAGAUGAUAAUGUAAAAGGAAACUUUCAGAUACUAGCACAGGAGAUACGGUUUGGUGACACUUGUGGAGGGCAAAUGCCCAUUUGUCUUACAACUUUAAAAUCAGCCCCUUUUAUCCUGUAAUUUCAUUUCAAGGAAUUUGUGCCUUAGAAUUAUGUGUGCCACUAGAAUUCGUACACACAAGGACAUCCAUUGAUUGAUUACAACAAGAACUAGAAAUGAAUAUCUGAUGGUAAAAAGAUGGGAAAGUAAUAAAUAGCCACUACCCAUGUGUUAUGGAUUAAAACCUGGUGGUCAGCUUAAUGCCAGCUGGAUUACAUCAGUGUGGUGCUGAGCAUAGAUGGCCCACCUGAGGGACGUUGCCAGCAUAAAUAGAGGUAUGGAACAGCAUAGCUACGUGUUGUGAGUUUUUCUAAGUGUUGCUGUUUAAGCCACUGGUUUUCCUGGAGGAGCUCAUCAUGCUGGCUUCCCCAGUGUGAGUUCAGCCAUUGUCAUCAGAGGAGCUUGAGACCUUUUGGUGAGAGUGGCUGUGGUUCACUUUGAGAGAGCUCAGGUCCUUACAUCGAGCAUCGCUUCCUGGCUCCGGAGAAGACGUGUGCUGCUUGGUCUCCAGGAGAAACUCGUCAUGCUGGCUUCCUGGCAUGUACUUGACUGUUCUUACCUUCAGAGGAGCUCAGGGCCUCUGUGUCACUAAGGAUGGCUGUGGUGCUUUUCAGGGCGGCCCUGGUCUUGUAGUGAGUGUGACUUCUCAGCUCCAGUGUAGAACCCUCAACCUACCAGCACAGCUCCUUCACCCCGCUGGCAUGGACUCUCUGGUUUCCACUGCUGACCUUUGGGCCUUCCCAGCAUGGAUCCGUAAAGCAGACUGGUGUGAGUCCUUGUCAUGGGCUCUGACCUCCAGCUGGGCUCGUGGGAGGCAUUGUCAUGGGCUCUAGGUCUUCAUCUGGACUCAUGCAGGAUAUUGCUGUGGGAUGCCGGCCCUUGGCUGAAUAUUCUGGGUCUUUAGAGUUUUGGACAGAUUUCCUGCACUUUCUUGUGUUAACUCCCAGUGACCACCAUAAAAUAAUAUAAAUUCUG
Long non-coding RNA from Cavia porcellus (domestic guinea pig), 1922 nucleotides. RefSeq lists it as uncharacterized. The record is from RefSeq and is a predicted model, not a curated record. NCBI's taxonomy places the organism in Eukaryota, Metazoa, Chordata, Mammalia, Rodentia, Caviidae. The transcript is spliced from 2 exons.